This 253-nucleotide ribosomal RNA is filed under the name uncultured bacterium. RNAcentral's name for it is "partial 16S ribosomal RNA". It matches the Rfam family "Bacterial small subunit ribosomal RNA", at positions 524 to 776 of the family's 1533-position model. The record is from RNAcentral.
UACGUAGGAGGCGAGCGUUGUCCGGAUUUACUGGGCGUAAAGGGCGCGUAGGCGGCCUAGCAAGUCACUUGUGAAAUCUCCGGGCUUAACUCGGAACUGCCAAGUGAAACUGCUGGGCUAGAGUGCAGAAGGGGCAAUCGGAAUUCUUGGUGUAGCGGUGAAAUGCGUAGAUAUCAAGAGGAACACCUGAGGUGAAGACGGGUUGCUGGGCUGACACUGACGCUGAGGCGCGAAAGCCAGGGGAGCAAACGGG